AGAACCUGAAACCGUGUACGUACAAGCAGUGGGAGCACAGAGCAAUCUGUGUGACUGCGUACCUUUUGUAUAAUGGGUCAGCGACUUAUAUUCUGUAGCAAGGUUAACCGAAUAGGGGAGCCGAAGGGAAACCGAGUCUUAACUGGGCGUUAAGUUGCAGGGUAUAGACCCGAAACCCGGUGAUCUAGCCAUGGGCAGGUUGAAGGUUGGGUAACACUAACUGGAGGACCGAACCGACUAAUGUUGAAAAAUUAGCGGAUGACUUGUGGCUGGGGGUGAAAGGCCAAUCAAACCGGGAGAUAGCUGGUUCUCCCCGAAAGCUAUUUAGGUAGCGCCUCGUGAAUUCAUCUCCGGGGGUAGAGCACUGUUUCGGCAAGGGGGUCAUCCCGACUUACCAACCCGAUGCAAACUGCGAAUACCGGAGAAUGUUAUCACGGGAGACACACGGCGGGUGCUAACGUCCGUCGUGAAGAGGGAAACAACCCAGACCGCCAGCUAAGGUCCCAAAGUCAUGGUUAAGUGGGAAACGAUGUGGGAAGGCCCAGACAGCCAGGAUGUUGGCUUAGAAGCAGCCAUCAUUUAAAGAAAGCGUAAUAGCUCACUGGUCGAGUCGGCCUGCGCGGAAGAUGUAACGGGGCUAAACCAUGCACCGAAGCUGCGGCAGCGACGCUGAUGCGUUGUUGGGUAGGGGAGCGUUCUGUAAGCCUGUGAAGGUGUGCUGUGAGGCAUGCUGGAGGUAUCAGAAGUGCGAAUGCUGACAUAAGUAACGAUAAAGCGGGUGAAAAGCCCGCUCGCCGGAAGACCAAGGGUUCCUGUCCAACGUUAAUCGGGGCAGGGUGAGUCGACCCCUAAGGCGAGGCCGAAAGGCGUAGUCGAUGGGAAACAGGUUAAUAUUCCUGUACUUGGUGUUACUGCGAAGGGGGGACGGAGAAGGCUAUGUUGGCCGGGCGACGGUUGUCCCGGUUUAAGCGUGUAGGCUGGUUUUCCAGGCAAAUCCGGAAAAUCAAGGCUGAGGCGUGAUGACGAGGCACUACGGUGCUGAAGCAACAAAUGCCCUGCUUCCAGGAAAAGCCUCUAAGCAUCAGGUAACAUCAAAUCGUACCCCAAACCGACACAGGUGGUCAGGUAGAGAAUACCAAGGCGCUUGAGAGAACUCGGGUGAAGGAACUAGGCAAAAUGGUGCCGUAACUUCGGGAGAAGGCACGCUGAUAUGUAGGUGAAGUCCCUCGCGGAUGGAGCUGAAAUCAGUCGAAGAUACCAGCUGGCUGCAACUGUUUAUUAAAAACACAGCACUGUGCAAACACGAAAGUGGACGUAUACGGUGUGACGCCUGCCCGGUGCCGGAAGGUUAAUUGAUGGGGUUAGCGCAAGCGAAGCUCUUGAUCGAAGCCCCGGUAAACGGCGGCCGUAACUAUAACGGUCCUAAGGUAGCGAAAUUCCUUGUCGGGUAAGUUCCGACCUGCACGAAUGGCGUAAUGAUGGCCAGGCUGUCUCCACCCGAGACUCAGUGAAAUUGAACUCGCUGUGAAGAUGCAGUGUACCCGCGGCAAGACGGAAAGACCCCGUGAACCUUUACUAUAGCUUGACACUGAACAUUGAGCCUUGAUGUGUAGGAUAGGUGGGAGGCUUUGAAGUGUGGACGCCAGUCUGCAUGGAGCCGACCUUGAAAUACCACCCUUUAAUGUUUGAUGUUCUAACGUUGACCCGUAAUCCGGGUUGCGGACAGUGUCUGGUGGGUAGUUUGACUGGGGCGGUCUCCUCCUAAAGAGUAACGGAGGAGCACGAAGGUUGGCUAAUCCUGGUCGGACAUCAGGAGGUUAGUGCAAUGGCAUAAGCCAGCUUGACUGCGAGCGUGACGGCGCGAGCAGGUGCGAAAGCAGGUCAUAGUGAUCCGGUGGUUCUGAAUGGAAGGGCCAUCGCUCAACGGAUAAAAGGUACUCCGGGGAUAACAGGCUGAUACCGCCCAAGAGUUCAUAUCGACGGCGGUGUUUGGCACCUCGAUGUCGGCUCAUCACAUCCUGGGGCUGAAGUAGGUCCCAAGGGUAUGGCUGUUCGCCAUUUAAAGUGGUACGCGAGCUGGGUUUAGAACGUCGUGAGACAGUUCGGUCCCUAUCUGCCGUGGGCGCUGGAGAACUGAGGGGGGCUGCUCCUAGUACGAGAGGACCGGAGUGGACGCAUCACUGGUGUUCGGGUUGUCAUGCCAAUGGCACUGCCCGGUAGCUAAAUGCGGAAGAGAUAAGUGCUGAAAGCAUCUAAGCACGAAACUUGCCCCGAGAUGAGUUCUCCCUGACUCCUUGAGAGUCCUGAAGGAACGUUGAAGACGACGACGUUGAUAGGCCGGGUGUGUAAGCGCAGCGAUGCGUUGAGCUAACCGGUACUAAUGAACCGUGAGGCUUAACCUUACAACGCCGAAGGUGUUU
This 2420-nucleotide ribosomal RNA is filed under the name Escherichia coli. RNAcentral describes it as "bacterial LSU rRNA". It matches the Rfam family "Bacterial large subunit ribosomal RNA", at positions 545 to 2925 of the family's 2925-position model. Lineage: Bacteria; Pseudomonadati; Pseudomonadota; Gammaproteobacteria; Enterobacterales; Enterobacteriaceae. The record is from RNAcentral.